Molecule: ribosomal RNA, 497 nt
Filed under: uncultured bacterium
Lineage: Bacteria
Description: partial 16S ribosomal RNA
Rfam family: Bacterial small subunit ribosomal RNA
Source: RNAcentral
GAUGAACGCUGGCGGCGUGCCUAAUACAUGCAAGUCGAGCGAACAGACGAGGAGCUUGCUCCUCUGACGUUAGCGGCGGACGGGUGAGUAACACGUGGAUAACCUACCUAUAAGACUGGGAUAACUUCGGGAAACCGGAGCUAAUACCGGAUAAUAUAUUUAACCGCAUGGUUCAAUAGUGAAAGACGGUUUUGCUGUCACUUAUAGAUGGAUCCGCGCCGCAUUAGCUAGUUGGUAAGGUAACGGCUUACCAAGGCAACGAUGCGUAGCCGACCUGAGAGGGUGAUCGGCCACACUGGAACUGAGACACGGUCCAGACUCCUACGGGAGGCAGCAGUAGGGAAUCUUCCGCAAUGGGCGAAAGCCUGACGGAGCAACGCCGCGUGAAUGAUGAAGGUCUUCGGAUCGUAAAACUCUGUUAUUAGGGAAGAACAAAUGUGUAAGUAACUAUGCACGUCUUGACGGUACCUAAUCAGAAAGCCACGGCUAACUACGUG